AACGUAGGAGACAAACGUUAUCCGGAGUUACUGGGCGUAAAGGGCGUGUAGGUGGUUUCGUAAGUCUGGCGUGAAAUUUUUCGGCUUAACCUGGAAAGGUCGUCGGAUACUGCGGGACUAGAGGACGGUAGAGGCGUGUGGAAUUCCGGGUGUAGUGGUGAAAUGCGUAGAGAUCCGGAGGAACACCAGUGGCGAAGGCGACACGCUGGGCCGUACCUGACACUGAUGCGCGACAGCAUGGGGAGCAAACAGG
This 253-nucleotide ribosomal RNA is filed under the name uncultured bacterium. RNAcentral describes it as "partial 16S ribosomal RNA". It matches the Rfam family "Bacterial small subunit ribosomal RNA", at positions 524 to 776 of the family's 1533-position model. The record is from RNAcentral.